This 1267-nucleotide ribosomal RNA is filed under the name uncultured bacterium. RNAcentral describes it as "bacterial SSU rRNA". It matches the Rfam family "Bacterial small subunit ribosomal RNA", at positions 28 to 1281 of the family's 1533-position model. The record is from RNAcentral.
AUUGAACGCUGGCGGCGUGCUUAACACAUGCAAGUCGAACGGUAGCACAGAGGAGCUUGCUUUUGUGGGGUGCUCGAGUGGCGAACGGGUGAGUAAUGCUUGGGAAUCUGCCCUUGACUUUGGGAUAACUUCAGGAAACUGUAGCUAAUACCGCGUAAUAUCGAGAGAUUAAAGACUGGGAACUUCGGUCCAGUUUCGGCGGUUGGGGAUGGACUCGCGGCUUAUCAGCUUGUUGGUGGGGUAAAGGCCUACCAAGCCGACGAUCUCUAGCUGGUCUGAGAGGAUGACCAGCCACAUUGGAACUGAGACUCGGUCCAGACUCCUACGGGAGGCAGCAGUGGGGAAUAUUGCACAAUGGGGGGAACCCUGAUGCAGCCAUGCCGCGUGAAUGAAGAAGGCCUUCGGGUUGUAAAGUUCUUUCGGUGGUGAGGAAGGCAUACAUUUUAAUAGAAUGUGUGAUUGACGUUAGCCACAGAAGAAGCACCGGCUAACUACGUGCCAGCAGCCGCGGUGAUACGGAGGGUGCGAGCGUUAAUCGGAAUGACUGGGCGUAAAGGGCACGCAGGCGGAUUGUUAAGUGGGAUGUGUAAUCUUGGGGCUUAACCCUGAGCGUGCUUUCAGACUGGCAAUCUAAAGUAUUUUAGGGAGGGGCAGAAUUCCACGUGUAGCGGUGAAAUGCCUAGAGAUGUGGAGGAAUACCGAAGGCGAAGGCAGCCCCUUGGGAAUAUACUGACGCUCAUGUGCGAAAGCGUGGGGAGCAAACAGGAUUAGAUACCCUGGUAGGCCACGCUGUAAACGAUGUCGAUUUGGGGAUUGGGCUUUAUGCGUGGUGCCCAAACCUAACGUGAUACAUCGAGCGCCUGGGGAGUACAGACGCAAGGUUAAAACUCAAAUGAAUUGACGGGCGCCCGCACAAGCGGAGGAGCGUGUGGUUUAAUUCGAUGCAACGCAAACAACCUUACCUACUCUUGACAUCCAGAGAACUUUCCAGAUAUGGAUUGGUGCCCUCUGGAGCUCUGAGACAGGUGCUGCAUGGCUGUCGUCACCUCAUGUUGCGAAAUGUUGAGUGAAGUCACCUAGCGACCGCAUCCCUUAUCUUGUGUUACCGACGAUUAGGUGCAGGAACUCCGAGCGGGACUGCCCAGUGACAGAAGGGAGGAAGGCGGAGAUGACGACUACCCAUCAUGGCCCUUGCGAGUAGGGUUAUGCAACAGCUAGAGUGAAAAUUUCGGAGGAACAGAGCAGUGCGAGACCAAAAGGACCACAC